CAGUAUGGAAGGGAUUCAUCCAUUCGAUGGGUUAACACCCUGACUUUGUCCAUGUUCCAGAGCAUCUUCAUCAUCCAGCCUCUGAAGGUUGUUGGUCUGGCCAUCUUCUUUGCACUCAUUCUGAGGCCGGUGGCAGUCGAGGACAACCAGGAGGUUGAGAUUUUGCUAGACGAACAACGUGAAAAAUGCGAGUCAUACUGUGGACGGCA
Tachysurus vachellii is the source of this 209-nucleotide long non-coding RNA. RefSeq lists it as uncharacterized. NCBI's taxonomy places the organism in Eukaryota, Metazoa, Chordata, Actinopteri, Siluriformes, Bagridae. The transcript has 3 exons. The record is from RefSeq and is a predicted model, not a curated record.